AUUGAACGCUGGCGGCAGGCCUAACACAUGCAAGUCGAGCGGAUGAAGGGAGCUUGCUCCUGGAUUCAGCGGCGGACGGGUGAGUAAUGCCUAGGAAUCUGCCUGGUAGUGGGGGAUAACGUCCGGAAACGGGCGCUAAUACCGCAUACGUCCUGAGGGAGAAAGUGGGGGAUCUUCGGACCUCACGCUAUCAGAUGAGCCUAGGUCGGAUUAGCUAGUUGGUGGGGUAAAGGCCUACCAAGGCGACGAUCCGUAACUGGUCUGAGAGGAUGAUCAGUCACACUGGAACUGAGACACGGUCCAGACUCCUACGGGAGGCAGCAGUGGGGAAUAUUGGACAAUGGGCGAAAGCCUGAUCCAGCCAUGCCGCGUGUGUGAAGAAGGUCUUCGGAUUGUAAAGCACUUUAAGUUGGGAGGAAGGGCAGUAAGUUAAUACCUGGCUGUUUUGACGUUACCAACAGAAUAAGCACCGGCUGACUUCGUG
This 484-nucleotide ribosomal RNA is filed under the name uncultured bacterium. RNAcentral's name for it is "partial 16S ribosomal RNA". It matches the Rfam family "Bacterial small subunit ribosomal RNA", at positions 30 to 507 of the family's 1533-position model. The record is from RNAcentral.